ACGAGGCACCUAGCUUGUGAAGAUCUCGACGUGUAAGGCGCCCGCCCGGUUGGAUGGCGGACUUCGAAUUGGAGUAGGGUUGAACGUGAUCUUUAAGAUCAGGGUGGCGUGUGGUAUGACGUCAGUGACUGGGGAGCUGACCGGAAGGGCGAGUUGACCGGAAGAGGAAGAAUGGCAGAGGGAGCCUCAAUCGGGAUUCGUGCCUUUUUCGAACGGGGUCGUGGUCAGGAGAGGACGUGCUAAGCGAUGGUCUAGGUUUGGGAGAAGCAGCUGCUAUUCCUAGUGUUCUUCAGGUCGGGGAAAGCUUCGAGGAUCGGAUACCGCAAGACAAACCUGCAGUCGACGAAAGGAAAACCGAGAUUUAAGGACAUAUUUCUUGCAUUACCUGUGUUUAGAAUAGACUUCCAUCUGGAAAUCCUGAAAAUAAAAGAAAUGGUAUUAAAUAUGAAAAAGAAUGAUCGAGAUCCAUCUUCCGACAACACAUCAUACAGAGAAGAGAUUAUUGAAUAUAAAUAGUGCAUCUUCUAACGCUGGAGAUGUAUUAAGGUGUCAGCUGUUCAUGACCAGUGAACUAAGGUAACACCCCUUAUUUUUCAAACACCCUCUGGAGUAUUGAGCGGUUCCAAGCAAUGAUAUUUUCUGCAGGUGCUCCAUCCUUAUUGCUGCCCCUAUUUGUUCCACGCUCCUCAAGACUGUUCCUCACUGUUCCCAGGAUUUCAACAAUUAUUGGUACUACUACCAUCUUUUUCAGCGACCACUUAACUUCCCAGGCUAACCUGUUAUAUCUAACGACUUUUCUUUCUGCCUUAUCGCAUAACUUGUUGUCAGAUGGGCAUGCUAUAAUAUAUGAUCUACUUCACGGUAUUGAUCGGGGAUACCCCCACUGGAUCCAACCAGAUGGUGAGUCUAGAUGUGAUAAAUCUGUUCACCAAACUCCCACCUGAUGAAGCACUAUCAGCAAUCCAAGAAAAUCUGGUGACAGACACCUGUCUAAAAGAACGCACUAGUAUACCAAUAGAAAACUUGAUGAAAAUGUCGACCUUCUGUGUAGAAACUACCUACUUCAGUAUGGAUACUGAUAUAUAUCGACAAGAAGAGGGUUUAGCUAUGGGUUCGCCAUUAUCACCGAUAAUAGCCAAUAAAAUACUUGGAAUACUUUGAGAAUUUGGCUUUAGGAUCAACACCACUAAAACCAACACUAUGGCUAUGAUAUGUUGAUGACACCUUUACACUCUGGCCCUACAAGAGAGAUGGUCCAGGUACUUUUAGAUCAUGCAAACUCAAUAAAGCCAUCCAUACAGUUCAGAAUGGAAAAGGAAAAAGACAAUCAGCUGGCAUUCCUGGACGUAUUAAUAACACGCACCAAGUAUGGAUCCAGGACAUCCGUAUACUGCAAACAAACCUUCACUGGACGAUACCUCAACUUCAAUUCCCACUAACCAUACAGUGUAAAGAGAAGGAUUGCUCAACGCCUAAAACUUCGAGCAAAGAAUAUAAGUAGCGAUCGUGAUACACACCACGAAGAAAUGAUCAAGCUAAGUAACAAUCUGUUAAGCAACAACUACCACCAAAACAUACUAUCCACUCCAAUUAUAAAGAGAGAGGAUGAAACCCAUAAACUGACUAUAGUCGGUCUAUUCUAUGUGAAAGGCCUCUCUGAAAAAAUACAAAAGAUAUGCGGUCCAUAUGACAUCAGGACAGUAUUCAAGAGUAAUACAACACUUCGCAAAUAUCUCCUUCGAUUAAAAUCACCAAUAGAAGAGAAUAGGAACAAAGACUGCGUGUACUCCAUCCCAUGCAGCCGUGGUAGGUUAUACAAAAGUGAAACAUGCCACCCCCUCAAAAUAAGGGUAGACGAACAUCGCAAAGCUGUGACACAAAGAGAUAUUGAUAACUCGGGUAUAGCUGCUCAUGUAUGGAAAAAAGGAGACCACCUCCACGUGUGCGAUGAAGUUAAAAUAAUAGACAGAGAACACCACUGGAAAAUACGGAAACUAAAAGAAGCAGCACAUAUGCUAGAACAUAAUAACCUCCGAAGCAGACCGAGUGCAGAUAUGAGUAGCAUAUGGGAACCGGUAUUAAGGAAGGAUAGAAAAAUAUUAGAGUUAUAAGCCCUAAAAUUCACUCCAUAAUUGCCCACGGGCAUAUGGUAUAGUGGUUAAAAGUGGAGGCUACCAGCCCCAAGAUCCCGAGUACGAUUCCUGAAAAUAAUAAUAACAUCGGAAAAAUACCUUAGGAAUGAGAACGCAGGUUCGAAAUUUCCCCAGGACACCUGAUGAAGGCAGGAGGGUAUAUCAGCCUAAACGUACUAACAACAAACAAGAUGAGGACAAAUAUUCGUUGAAUGUAAAUAAUGUACAUAAUUCCUCAUCUCUCAAAUUUAGAACUUGUUUAUACAUAGUUCGUAAGGAUGUGAAGUGUACUUUUCAGUUACCUUUGAAGAUUGUUGGAAUUAAAUGUUAAGAGAUUAGGGGUCCAGGCAAGACUGGUAUGAUGCAGGAUGGAUCUUUGUGUUGGUCAAAUAUGGGGCUAGCCACUGUGUAUAAUUUGUUUCAGCUAAACUCUAGUGAAGGUAUUGUUGAUAAUAUUUAGUAGGAAGACAGAAGGUACAAGAGUUUUCCUCAUGUCUUUCAACAAGUUAGAAGCACAGUGUCUAUGAGACCAUUUUCCAUAAGUUGAUAAUAUUAAGAAAAUAAAUUACUCUUCUUGGUUCAAUUUAGAGACAUAUUUUUUGAAGAACAUGUGUUAUAAAAUACUCAGAAUUAAAUACAUAUAAAACCGUUUAUCCAAUAAAAAUAGUUAUAAGAUUUAACCAGUUGACCAGAAAACCAACAACCAGGUAAAUCAUUACAUAAAAUAUUUAUAAAAAUUCUGUGCCAACAAAAUACUCAUAUAGUCCUUCCAUUUAGAUUUCCUAACUACAGAUUUCAUCAGAUAUGCAACCAUUAUAGACUGAAUAAACAUCUAAUAAUCUUAUUUACAGAAUAGUCUAUUUACUGACCUUUAC
Long non-coding RNA from Octopus bimaculoides (California two-spot octopus), 3007 nucleotides. RefSeq lists it as uncharacterized. The record is from RefSeq and is a predicted model, not a curated record. NCBI's taxonomy places the organism in Eukaryota, Metazoa, Mollusca, Cephalopoda, Octopoda, Octopodidae.